This 353-nucleotide ribosomal RNA is filed under the name uncultured bacterium. Its description in RNAcentral is "bacterial SSU rRNA". It matches the Rfam family "Bacterial small subunit ribosomal RNA", at positions 917 to 1267 of the family's 1533-position model. The record is from RNAcentral.
GGGCCCGCACAAGCGGUGGAGCAUGUGGUUUAAUUCGAAGAUACGCGCAGAACCUUACCAACACUUGACAUGUUCGUCGCGACUUUAAGAGAUUAAAGUUUUCGGUUCGGCCGGACGAAACACAGGUGCUGCAUGGCUGUCGUCAGCUCGUGUCGUGAGAUGUUGGGUUAAGUCCCGCAACGAGCGCAACCCUCACUUUUAGUUGCCAUCAUUAAGUUGGGCACUCUGAAAGAACUGCCAGUGAUAAGCUGGAGGAAGGUGGGGAUGACGUCAAGUCCUCAUGGCCCUUACGUGUUGGGCUACACACGUGCUACAAUGGUAUCUACAACAGGAAGCAAGACGGCGACGUUAAG